GAUUGAAAGAAGAUGGUAUCUUGUUUAUUCCUGAGCAAAAUAAAGGUCAUUCGUCGUUAAAAACAAACCAAGAAAGAAUUUUAUGGAAAUCAAGAUGUCAGCAGAGAAUUACCAGUCAUAGAAGCAAUGUGAAAUCUACAGGAAGUUCAUUGUAUUGCUGGAUACCACUAUAGAUGGGUGUAUCCUGACUUUUUUUUGUUCUCAUAUAUAUUUGUUUCAGUCUUACAGCAUUUCUUGUAUUGUGAUUAUGUGUAUCUCCUACUGUUUCCAUCGUGGUAUUACAUAAGAUGUAAUUAUUCAAGAUUCCAAGUUCAACUUGUUCAAGUGCAAUAAUUUUUUCUAUUGUCAGGAAUCCCAUUAUUUCAUAAACAAUGUUUGUGUAAGUUGGUCGAUACAAGUUAUACAGUUUUUAUUCAUUUGUUUUGCGCUCUUUCUAGUUAAUUAAUUAAUUGUUGUAAUGCAUUGCCCCAAAACAUGGUAUGAGAUACCUUAUAUAUGUUAUUCAAUAUAGCUGUAAUAUAUUGUUUUUUUGA
Long non-coding RNA from Leptinotarsa decemlineata (Colorado potato beetle), 533 nucleotides. Lineage: Eukaryota; Metazoa; Arthropoda; Insecta; Coleoptera; Chrysomelidae. The record is from RefSeq and is a predicted model, not a curated record.